Molecule: long non-coding RNA, 621 nt
Filed under: Varroa destructor (honeybee mite)
Lineage: Eukaryota; Metazoa; Arthropoda; Arachnida; Mesostigmata; Varroidae
Description: uncharacterized LOC111251573, transcript variant X3
Source: RNAcentral
UGGCUUCUCCCUGUGACCGCCACCAAACUUCUAGAACCCCUGCAAUAUGUGCUUCUGAUUUUUUUGUCAAGAUACAUAGAAGCGGCAGGUUUUUCGAUAGGAGAACGAUGUUCCUAGUAGUAUAAUUAAUAACACUGAUUUCAAGGAGAGCAUAUAAGAAAGAUCGCGUCAAAAUAAGCAAGAUAUUUAUUAACGCUUCAAGGAGCUCACCGUAAAUGUAAUAAUAUCUGCAUUAAGAGCUUGCUUUGCCGCUACCAAGAACUCGACACAAUCCUCUGUAUUUACCGUAAGAAUGCUUCUGAGAAGGACCUCUCUCCAUUGUUACUCAACGGCGGACUAUCGACGAAACAGUAUCACAGUCAAGAAGCACAGUGGUCAGUGUCGCUUCGGCAGGCUUCAUACUUAAAUGAACAAGGAAAACUACGUUAGUGAUGGUUAAACCUUCUUUAAUCGUUGGAUGUUUGGCAAGCCGGUUCAAGUUUCCGAAGCAGGAAUGAAAAGCUGAGCAUUACAGAGCUCCAACGUUGUACAGGGUUCGUGAGAGAAAAACGGUGUAAGCCUAGAGACCCCCCGCCAGGAUGAUGUCCGUAGAGGUCGGAUUUGAAUUUUGGUUGAUUCGAU